This 605-nucleotide ribosomal RNA is filed under the name uncultured bacterium. Its description in RNAcentral is "bacterial SSU rRNA". It matches the Rfam family "Bacterial small subunit ribosomal RNA", at positions 202 to 827 of the family's 1533-position model. The record is from RNAcentral.
AAAAACUCCGGUGGUAUGAGAUGGACCCGCGUCUGAUUAGCUGGUUGGUGGGGUAACGGCCUACCAAGGCGACGAUCAGUAGCCGACCUGAGAGGGUGACCGGCCACAUUGGGACUGAGACACGGCCCAAACUCCUACGGGAGGCAGCAGUGGGGAAUAUUGCACAAUGGGGGAAACCCUGAUGCAGCGACGCCGCGUGAAGGAUGAAGUAUUUCGGUAUGUAAACUUCUAUCAGCAGGGAAGAAAAUGACGGUACCUGACUAAGAAGCCCCGGCUAACUACGUGCCAGCAGCCGCGGUAAUACGUAGGGGGCAAGCGUUAUCCGGAUUUACUGGGUGUAAAGGGAGCGUAGACGGCAUUGCAAGCCAGAUGUGAAAGCCCGGGGCUCAGCCCCGGGACUGCAUUCGGAACUGUAGAGCUAGAGUGUCGGAGAGGCAAGUGGAAUUCCUAGUGUAGCGGUGAAAUGCGUAGAUAUUAGGAGGAACACCAGUGGCGAAGGCGGCUUGCUGGACGAUGACUGACGUUGAGGCUCGAAAGCGUGGGGAGCAAACAGGAUUAGAUACCCUGGUAGUCCACGCCGUAAACGAUGAGUACUAGGUGUCGGG